RNAcentral lists this ribosomal RNA (468 nucleotides) under uncultured bacterium. RNAcentral's name for it is "partial 16S ribosomal RNA". It matches the Rfam family "Bacterial small subunit ribosomal RNA", at positions 28 to 523 of the family's 1533-position model. The record is from RNAcentral.
GAUGAACGCUGGCGGCGUGCCUAACACAUGCAAGUCGAGCGAUCUUCUCCGGAAGAGAGCGGCGGACGGGUGAGUAACGCGUGGGUAACCUGCCCUGUACACACGGAUAACAUACCGAAAGGUAUGCUAAUACGAGAUAAUAUGCUUUUAUCGCAUGGUAGAAGUAUCAAAGCUCCGGCGGUACAGGAUGAACCCACGUCUGAUUAGCUAGUUGGUAAGGUAACGGCUUACCAAGGCGACGAUCAGUAGCCGACCUGAGAGGGGUAUCGGCCACAUUGGAACGGAGACACGGUCCAAACUCCUACGGGAGGCAGCAGUGGGGAAGAUUGCAAAAUGGGCGAAAGACUGAUGAAGAAACGACGCGUGAGGGAUGAAGGCCUUCGGGUCGUGAAGCUCUGUCCUCAAGGAAGAUAAUGACGGUACUUGAGGAGGAAGCCCCGGCUAACUACGUGCCAGCAGCCGCCGUAA